UACGUAGGGUGCAAGCGUUAAUCGGAAUUACUGGGCGUAAAGCGUGCGCAGGCGGUGAUGUAAGACAGAUGUGAAGUCCCCGGGCUCAACCUGGGAACUGCAUUUGUGACUGCAUCGCUGGAGUGCGGCAGAGGGGGAUGGAAUUCCGCGUGUAGCAGUGAAAUGCGUAGAUAUGCGGAGGAACACCGAUGGCGAAGGCAAUCCCCUGGGCCUGCACUGACGCCCAUGCACGAAAGCGUGGGGAGCAAACAGG
This 253-nucleotide ribosomal RNA is filed under the name uncultured bacterium. Its description in RNAcentral is "partial 16S ribosomal RNA". It matches the Rfam family "Bacterial small subunit ribosomal RNA", at positions 524 to 776 of the family's 1533-position model. The record is from RNAcentral.